CGCCGCCGUCCCCUCCCCCUCUCCCUCUCCGCCGCCGUCCCCUCCCCCUCUCCCUCUCCGCCUCCCUCCGUCCAACCGCAGCCCGCUCCCCCGGCCGGCGCCGGCGGCACCUCAUGGCGUCGCUCUCCCUCUCCCUCCGCGCCAACGCCUCCGCCUCCCCGGCCGCCGCCGGAUCCCGCGCCGCCGCCUCAAUCAAGGCGUCGUGCGUGAGGAGCAAGGUUACCUUCAGCUUACCAUCCAUCAGAGCUACCUCCUCGCCUGCUAGAAGCAUUGAGCCCGUAAGAGCCACGGCCACACAGGCGCCCCCUGCCACCCCUCAAACUUCUAGUGGGGAGAAAACAAAGGUCGGCAUCAAUGGUUUUGGGCGGAUUGGGAGGUUAGUUCUGAGAAUUGCAAUCGAUAGAGAUGAUAUUGAAGUUGUGGCCGUCAAUGAUCCGUUUAUCGAUGCUAAAUACAUGGCCUACAUGUUUAAGUAUGAUUCCACACACGGUCCAUUCAAAGGAACCAUAACAGUUCUGGAUGAGUCAACCUUGGAGAUUAAUGGGAAGAAAGUCUCAGUUACAAGCAAAAGGGACCCCUCAGAUAUCCCUUGGGGUAACUUUGGAGCUGAAUAUGUUGUUGAAUCAUCUGGUGUUUUUACAACAGUUGAGAAAGCUUCAGCACAUUUGAAGGGGGGUGCGAAGAAAGUGGUGAUAUCGGCUCCGUCAGCGGAUGCUCCCAUGUUUGUGGUUGGAGUAAAUGAGAAGAAUUACAACCCUAGCAUGGAUGUUGUCUCUAAUGCUAGUUGUACCACCAACUGUCUUGCUCCUGUUGCCAAGGUUGUCCAUGAGGAGUUUGGCAUUCUUGAAGGCCUAAUGACAACUGUCCAUGCCACAACAGCCACUCAAAAGACUGUUGAUGGUCCUUCGAUGAAGGACUGGAGGGGAGGACGUGGUGCUGGUCAAAACAUCAUCCCUAGCUCUACGGGUGCAGCAAAGGCUGUUGGAAAGGUCCUUCCAGCUUUAAAUGGAAAGCUCACUGGCAUGGCCUUCCGGGUUCCUACACCUAACGUGUCCGUUGUUGAUCUGACCUGCCGACUUGAGAAAAGCGCUUCCUAUGAAGAUGUGAAAGCAGCUAUCAAGGAAGCAUCAGAAGGUUCACUUAAAGGUAUUCUAGGCUACACAGAUGAGGAUGUUGUUUCAAACGAUUUCGUUGGUGACACAAGGUCGAGCAUAUUUGAUGCCAAUGCUGGUAUGGGUCUAAGUUCAUCUUUCAUGAAGCUCGUCUCCUGGUACGACAACGAGUGGGGCUACAGCAACCGUGUCCUGGAUCUGAUCGGGCACAUGGCUCUUGUCAACGCCUAACGAUGACGCCACGAUACGAUUUAGCACAGAAAAGGUCUCCUCGCGUAGUGUAGGAAGUGAAGGCUGCAAUUUUGAUGGCCAUUUUCGAAUCCUGGAAUAAUAAUAAUUCUGUAUGAUGAAAACAAUCAAAUCAAUCGGCGUCGACUUGAAGCUGCAGAACGAUCAUGCUGGUAUGUAAAACCCCACAAUUGAACUGUUGUGGGUGGACAAUAAACCCAAUCCCCGACUCGUCGAGUCAUAGUGCUGUUACUUUGGCCCUGUGGUGGCAUCCGUGUUUUGUUUCCACCUUCAGGGAGGAUAGGAAAAUAUGAUGACGAUGACUCUUUUGUUUGCAGUCUAAAGUUUUGCAAUGCCAUGUUGCUUGUUGCGCUUCGACACGCAGUUGAGAGGACCCUGGAUCGAUAUCUCGGGAAAGAUAUCCGAAUUUCCAAUCCUGAUGAUAUGAUAGAAAUUCAGGAAAGGUGUUCUGGAUUUCAGAUCCCGAUGGUAGGAAUUCGGAUGCCGAUUGGGCGACUCCGGUGACCGGCAGUGUCGCCGUCCUCAUCACAUCCCUUUCCUGCCUUGCCGUCAAGUGGGUUCUCCGGUGGAGGGGCAUCACGUACGGCGGCCACCAAGAUAACCCUGCGAAUCACAUCCGAACUCUCCUGCUUUACCGUGCCAUCUGUUCUGACCGUGACUUCACUGCCUGUCCUGUUCCUAUCUCCAC
This 2049-nucleotide ribosomal RNA is filed under the name Triticum aestivum (bread wheat). RNAcentral's name for it is "partial small subunit ribosomal RNA". Lineage: Eukaryota; Viridiplantae; Streptophyta; Magnoliopsida; Poales; Poaceae. The record is from RNAcentral.